This 696-nucleotide long non-coding RNA is filed under the name Ananas comosus (pineapple). RNAcentral describes it as "long non-coding RNA (ACOM_LNC016374)". Lineage: Eukaryota; Viridiplantae; Streptophyta; Magnoliopsida; Poales; Bromeliaceae. The record is from RNAcentral.
AUGAUGCGGCUUCAAAAUCGACGAUCGGCUCCACUAGACUUGAUCUAUACUAUUAAAAGUAUUUGAAAACUAAAUUUCAUAAUUUGUUGACAACAUUUCGCUAGUGAUCAAAAGGUCUUAAAAUUGACAAUUUUAAUGGUCGACGUGAUGCGUUUGGUGUAGAUCAAUCCAAAUCCGAUGAAAUUUUAAUAAAAAUUAUUUAAAGUAAGAUCAGUACCUCUGUUUCACUAUUUAAAGUAAGAUCAGUACCUCUGAUCUUAAAUUCAUGUCUUUUUCAUCAUUUUUUAUGAGAUUUUUAUAUUCAGCCGUUCAUUUUUAGACUACUUGUUUGAUAGGUAAAUGAUGUCGAACAAUUAUGAAAUUUAGUUUCCAAAUAUUUUUAAUAGUGUAGAUUAAAUCUAAUGGAGCCGAUCGUCAAUUUGAAAGCCGCAUCAUUGAAAACAAUUUAGUAGCACGGAGGCCUCCGUACUACCGAUAGUAUACUAGCCUAGCUCUUUUAAUUAUAUAUAAUAAUAUAUAUUAUGUAUUUUAGUUAUAUAUACAGAGAGUUUAGGUUAUUGAGAAUAUUAAUUGGUCCACAAAACUAAACCAGCAAAAUUCUACUAAUUACUCUCUUUCCCUCUCUUUCACUUACUCACAGAAUCGCUUUCCCUAAAUUAUUUUUCUUAAUAUUAUAAUACCGUAUUUCAUGCAUUU